UGAGCAAUCUGCCCUUCUCAUCGGAAUAAGCGUUGGAAACGACGUCUAAUGCCGAAUACGACCUCCUUUCGCAUGAUCGGAGGUGGAAAGCUCCGGCGGAGAAGGAUGAGCUCGCGGCCUAUCAGCUAGUUGGUGAGGUAAUAGCUCACCAAGGGGAUGACGGGUAGCCGGCCUGAGAGGGUGACCGGCCACACUGGGACUGAGACACGGCCCAGACUCCCGUAGGGAGG
RNAcentral lists this ribosomal RNA (230 nucleotides) under uncultured bacterium. RNAcentral's name for it is "partial 16S ribosomal RNA". It matches the Rfam family "Bacterial small subunit ribosomal RNA", at positions 118 to 348 of the family's 1533-position model. The record is from RNAcentral.